RNAcentral lists this ribosomal RNA (327 nucleotides) under uncultured eukaryote. RNAcentral's name for it is "partial 18S ribosomal RNA". It matches the Rfam family "Eukaryotic small subunit ribosomal RNA", at positions 1470 to 1796 of the family's 1831-position model. The record is from RNAcentral.
CCCUUAGAUGUUCUGGGCCGCACGCGCGCUACACUGACGAAUGCAACGAGCUUAUAACCUUGGCCGAAAGGUCUGGGUAAUCUCCAAAUUUCGUCGUGAUGGGGAUAGAUUAUUGCAAUUAUUAAUCUUCAACGAGGAAUGCCUAGUAAGCGCAAGUCAUCAGCUUGCGUUGAUUACGUCCCUGCCCUUUGUACACACCGCCCGUCGCUCCUACCGAUUGAAUGGUCCGGUGAGAAUUUUGGAUUGAUGUUUCGUCGGGUUAACGCCAGACUUUACGUUGAGAAGUUAUUCAAACCUUACCAUUUAGAGGAAGGUGAAGUCGUAACA